AUUGAACGCUGGCGGCAGGCCUAACACAUGCAAGUCGAACGGUAACAGGAAGCAGCUUGCUGCUUUGCUGACGAGUGGCGGACGGGUGAGUAAUGUCUGGGAAACUGCCUGAUUGAGGGGGAUAACUACUGGAAACGGUAGCUAAUACCGCAUAACGUCGCAAGACCAAAGAGGGGGACCUUCGGGCCCCUUGCCAUCGGAUGUGCCCAGAUGGGAUUAGCUAGUAGGUGGGGUAACGGCUCACCUAGGCGACGAUCCCUAGCUGGUCUGAGAGGAUGACCAGCCACACUGGAACUGAGACACGGUCCAGACUCCUACGGGAGGCAGCAGUGGGGAAUAUUGCACGAUGGGCGCAAGCCUGAUGCAGCCAUGCCGCGUGUAUGAAGAAGGCCUUCGGGUUGUAAAGUACUUUCAGCGGGGAGGAAGGGAGUAAAGUUAAUACCUUGGCGUAUUGACGUUACCCGAAGAAGAAGCACCGGCUAACUCCGUG
This 490-nucleotide ribosomal RNA is filed under the name uncultured bacterium. RNAcentral describes it as "partial 16S ribosomal RNA". It matches the Rfam family "Bacterial small subunit ribosomal RNA", at positions 30 to 507 of the family's 1533-position model. The record is from RNAcentral.